UGCCAGUUCCUUAACUUGCUUGUGCUC
Molecule: non-coding RNA, 27 nt
Filed under: Rattus norvegicus (Norway rat)
Lineage: Eukaryota; Metazoa; Chordata; Mammalia; Rodentia; Muridae
Source: RNAcentral